CAGCAGCCGCGGUAAUACGCAGGUGGCAAGCGUUGUCCGGAAUUAUUGGGCGUAAAGGGCUCGCAGGCGGUUUCUUAAGUCUGAUGUGAAAGCCCCCGGCUCAACCGGGGAGGGUCAUUGGAAACUGGGAAACUUGAGUGCAGAAGAGGAGAGUGGAAUUCCACGUGUAGCGGUGAAAUGCGUAGAGAUGUGGAGGAACACCAGUGGCGAAGGCGACUCUCUGGUCUGUAACUGACGCUGAGGAGCGAAAGCGUGGGGAGCGAACAGGAUUAGAUACCCCUGUAGUCCCUGUCUCUUAUAC
Molecule: ribosomal RNA, 301 nt
Filed under: uncultured bacterium
Lineage: Bacteria
Description: partial 16S ribosomal RNA
Rfam family: Bacterial small subunit ribosomal RNA
Source: RNAcentral